GACGAACGCUGGCGGCGUGCUUAACACAUGCAAGUCGAACGGAAAGGCCCUGCUUUUGUGGGGUGCUCGAGUGGCGAACGGGUGAGUAACACGUGAGUAACCUGCCCUUGACUUUGGGAUAACUUCAGGAAACUGGGGCUAAUACCGGAUAGGAGCUCCUGCUGCAUGGUGGGGGUUGGAAAGUUUCGGCGGUUGGGGAUGGACUCGCGGCUUAUCAGCUUGUUGGUGGGGUAGUGGCUUACCAAGGCUUUGACGGGUAGCCGGCCUGAGAGGGUGACCGGCCACAUUGGGAAUGAGAUACGGCCCAGAAUCCUACGGGAGGCAGGAGUGGGGAAUAUUGGAAAAUGGGCGGAAGCCUGAUGCAGCAAAGGCGCGGGCGGGAAGAAGGGCUUCGGGUUGGAAACCGCUUUCGCCUGGGAAGAAGGGGGAGUGAAGGUAAUGGGUAAAGAAGCAACGGCUAAAUACGUG
RNAcentral lists this ribosomal RNA (468 nucleotides) under uncultured bacterium. RNAcentral's name for it is "partial 16S ribosomal RNA". It matches the Rfam family "Bacterial small subunit ribosomal RNA", at positions 28 to 507 of the family's 1533-position model. The record is from RNAcentral.